AAAGGAAUCAAUAAGCGGAGGAGUUCCGCCGGGGGCCGGUUGUCGCUCCCACCCUUUGUCGGAGUGUCCCUCUUGUUGUUUCCUCGGCAGGCGAGCCUGCCGCCAGGAACCUCUAUAAACUCUUUGUAUCUACAGUAUUAAAAUCUCUGAUAACUAUUUAAAUUAUCACAACUUUCAACAAUGGAUCUCUUGGUUCUGGCAUCGAUGAAGAACGCAGCGAAAUGCGAAAAGUAGUGUGAAUUGCAGAAUUCCGUGAAUCAUCGAAUCUUUGAACGCACAUUGCGCCCCUCGGUAUUCCGUGGGGCAUGCCUGUUCGAGCGUCAUUUACACCCUCAAGCUCUGCUUGGUGUUGGGCGUCUGUCCCGCCUCGUGCGUGGACUCGCCCCAAAGUCAUUGGCAGCGGUCGUGCCAGCUUCUCGCGCAGCACAUUUGCGUUUCUCGAAGCUUGGUGGAUCAGCAUCCAGUAAGUUACUUCAUGACUUGACCUCGGAUCAGGUAGGGAUACCCGCUGAACUUAAGCAUAUCAAUAAGCGGAGGAAUCUUAAUUAAAUGCAUGCCCCUCUGGGAUACCCCACUUUAUUGAGGAUCUGUGUUUUGGCGGCACGCGCACUAUAAUUUUUAUCAUAUUAAAUCGAUAUAUUUAAUUACACUCACAGGAUCUGGUUGCACAGAAACACAAGCAAGAUGUGAGUAAACUGAAUACAUUUAACAUGCUUCUCGGGAGCUCGCUCUACUCCGGGCCCCACA
RNAcentral lists this ribosomal RNA (747 nucleotides) under Stagonospora sp. 2 TT-2014. RNAcentral describes it as "eukaryotic LSU rRNA". The stretch from base 170 to 323 matches the Rfam family "5.8S ribosomal RNA". The record is from RNAcentral. Lineage: Eukaryota; Fungi; Ascomycota; Dothideomycetes; Pleosporales; Massarinaceae.